AUUGAACGCUGGCGGCAGGCCUAACACAUGCAAGUCGAACGGUAGCACAGAGAGCUUGCUCUCGGGUGACGAGUGGCGGACGGGUGAGUAAUGUCUGGGAAACUGCCUGAUGGAGGGGGAUAACUACUGGAAACGGUAGCUAAUACCGCAUAAUGUCGCAAGACCAAAGAGGGGGACCUUCGGGCCUCCUGCCAUCGGAUGUGCCCAGAUGGGAUUAGCUAGUAGGUGGGGUAAUGGCUCACCUAGGCGACGAUCCCUAGCUGGUCUGAGAGGAUGACCAGCCACACUGGAACUGAGACACGGUCCAGACUCCUGCGGGAGGCAGCAGUGGGGAAUAUUGCACAAUGGGCGCAAGCCUGAUGCAGCCAUGCCGCGUGUAUGAAGAAGGCCUUCGGGUUGUAAAGUACUUUCAGCGAGGAGGAAGGCAUCGUGGUUAAUAACCGCAGUGAUUGACGUUACUCGCAGAAGAAGCACCGGCUAACUCCGUGCCAGCCGCCGCAGUAA
RNAcentral lists this ribosomal RNA (504 nucleotides) under uncultured bacterium. RNAcentral describes it as "partial 16S ribosomal RNA". It matches the Rfam family "Bacterial small subunit ribosomal RNA", at positions 30 to 523 of the family's 1533-position model. The record is from RNAcentral.